This 543-nucleotide ribosomal RNA is filed under the name uncultured archaeon. RNAcentral describes it as "bacterial SSU rRNA". It matches the Rfam family "Bacterial small subunit ribosomal RNA", at positions 509 to 1050 of the family's 1533-position model. The record is from RNAcentral.
CAGCCGCCGCGGUAAUACGUAGGUGGCAAGCGUUGUCCGGAUUUAUUGGGCGUAAAGCGAGCGCAGGCGGAAAAAUAAGUCUAAUGUGAAAGCCCUCGGCUUAACCGAGGAACUGCAUCGGAAACUGUUUUUCUUGAGUGCAGAAGAGGAGAGUGGAACUCCAUGUGUAGCGGUGGAAUGCGUAGAUAUAUGGAAGAACACCAGUGGCGAAGGCGGCUCUCUGGUCUGCAACUGACGCUGAGGCUCGAAAGCAUGGGUAGCGAACAGGAUUAGAUACCCUGGUAGUCCAUGCCGUAAACGAUGAGUGCUAAGUGUUGGGAGGUUUCCGCCUCUCAGUGCUGCAGCUAACGCAUUAAGCACUCCGCCUGGGGAGUACGACCGCAAGGUUGAAACUCAAAGGAAUUGACGGGGGCCCGCACAAGCGGUGGAGCAUGUGGUUUAAUUCGAAGCAACGCGAAGAACCUUACCAGGUCUUGACAUCUAGUGCAAUCUGUAGAGAUACGGAGUUCCCUUCGGGGACGCUAAGACAGGUGGUGCAUGGCC